Molecule: ribosomal RNA, 465 nt
Filed under: uncultured Klebsiella sp.
Lineage: Bacteria; Pseudomonadati; Pseudomonadota; Gammaproteobacteria; Enterobacterales; Enterobacteriaceae
Description: bacterial SSU rRNA
Rfam family: Bacterial small subunit ribosomal RNA
Source: RNAcentral
CCUACGGGAGGUAGCAGUGGGGAAUAUUGCACAAUGGGCGCAAGCCUGAUGCAGCCAUGCCGCGUGUGUGAAGAAGGCCUUCGGGUUGUAAAGCACUUUCAGCGGGGAGGAAGGCGUUAAGGUUAAUAACCUUGUCGAUUGACGUUACCCGCAGAAGAAGCACCGGCUAACUCCGUGCCAGCAGCCGCGGUAAUACGGAGGGUGCAAGCGUUAAUCGGAAUUACUGGGCGUAAAGCGCACGCAGGCGGUCUGUCAAGUCGGAUGUGAAAUCCCCGGGCUCAACCUGGGAACUGCAUUCGAAACUGGCAGGCUAGAGUCUUGUAGAGGGGGGUAGAAUUCCAGGUGUAGCGGUGAAAUGCGUAGAGAUCUGGAGGAAUACCGGUGGCGAAGGCGGGCCCCUGGACAAAGACUGACGCUCAGGUGCGAAAGCGUGGGGAGCAAACAGGAUUAGAUACCCGGGUAGUC